Non-coding RNA from Arachis ipaensis, 941 nucleotides. The record is from RefSeq and is a predicted model, not a curated record. Lineage: Eukaryota; Viridiplantae; Streptophyta; Magnoliopsida; Fabales; Fabaceae.
GAGAGAGUUGGAGUAAUACCCAUUGUGGAAAAGAUGGUUGAAUCGCAUCUCACGUGGUUUGGACAUGUGAGAAGAAGACCGAUAGAACAUCCAGUCAGAAGGGUGGAUGAGAUAGAAGAUGAACAAAUGGCGAAAGGCAGAGGAAGACUUAAGAAGACCAUCCAUGAGGUGGUCAAACGAGAUCUACAUGUAAACGGUCUCUCUGUAGACAUAAUACAUAACAGAGUAUAAUGGCGUUGUUUGAUUCAUGUAGCCGACCCCACUUAAUGGGACAAGACUUUGUUGUUGUUGUUUUGUUUGCUCCUAACUAAAAUAUGUCCGACAUCCUAUUUUGAUGCAGAAAACCUUUGAUGGACAUAAUUUUAGAUCAACUAGCUUACAACAUAGAUACCAUCCCCCUAUUUCUUAAGACCUUCAGUGAACCAAAAUGAAAGCUGGAAAUAGUUGUGUAUUACCUGUGGAAAUACAUGACUAAAGUAAUCAGCAGCUAGAUUGUUUGAAAAUCUACUUGCUUAACAUUAUGUAUUGUUACUUUUGAAAUGGAGCCUCAACGGAUAGUAAGCUACAGGUUUCAUAAUCUCUAUUUAAUUUUGUUUGUUUUAUACAUAAUUGCAACCUUUUGUUCACACUCGAAAGUCAAAUGGCUCUCCUGAGGAUGCAACAUUUGAAGUGGCUUUGAAAUGCUUCUCAAAUAAAACUGGCACUAAAAGCACUAUUAAAAAAAUUGGUCCAGAUGUAAUGCAGUUCCUUGUUGGUCACAUGUAUUCCUUUUUUGUUAUUUUAGUAGGAAGGUGGUUCUGUAAUAGAAGUAAUGGUUUGAUUCAUGUUAUUUAAAAGCUUUACUGUCUUCCUAACCCUCAUACAUGGAUUGUAAGCAUUUUGCAUAAUGUGAUUGGUGAAUUUGGUUAUAACGAGAGAAAUUUUUCGGGGUUAUUGGUUCA